Salmo salar (Atlantic salmon) is the source of this 1050-nucleotide non-coding RNA. Lineage: Eukaryota; Metazoa; Chordata; Actinopteri; Salmoniformes; Salmonidae. The record is from RefSeq and is a predicted model, not a curated record.
GGUCAUACAGGCACGCGGAGGCCACACACACUACUGAGCCUCAUUUGACUUGUUUUAAGGACAUUACAUCAAAGUUGGAUCAGCCUGUAGUGUGGUUUUCCACUUUAAUUUUGAGUGUGACUCCAAAUCCAGACCUCCAUGGGUUGAUAAAUUGGAUUUCCAUUGAUUAUUUUUGUGUGAUUUUGUUGUCAGCACAUUCAACUAUGUAAAGAAAAAAGUAUUUAAUAAGAUUGUUUAUUUCAUUCAGAUCAAUGCUGCAACUGGAGUGAUCAUGUGAUUAAUACAUGGACAACACGGAUAUUGUUGAAGAAAAAGUGAACUUGGAAAUAAAGCUGCACCUCUUGAAUGUUGAGAGUUUUUUGAUAAAGGGGUCAGUGCUCUAAAAUGAGUCUCUCUGGGGAGAGAGAGGAGGGGGGCCCUGGCUCUAAAAUUAGUCUCUCUGGGGGACAUGAUACCAAAGCUAAAAGCCCAAUCAAGCAGGAGAGACCAGCCUCCCCUGUUCCCAGCUGUGUGAGUGACAAGUCUAUGACUCCUCCUAUAUCCUUUAGAGAUGGAGACUUCUCUACUGAACAAAGGUAAGAAGAACUCAUGGGUCAUGGUCAGUGAGAUAAACAACACUGUCUCUAGUCAUUUCUCCUCUCCCAUUGUCCCAUUUCUUUUUGUUUUCAUAAUUUGUAGGCUAAUCCUUUUUUCUAUUUUCAUAGUCCUAAAACAAUAUUAAACACACACAACAUUCCCUCCCUCCCUGUGUGUGUGAGAGAGAGUGUGUGUGUGUAGUCCCUGGAUGAGGAGAUGUAAUCUCUAUUCACUUUUACCCUGACCUAAAUGUACGUUACCUCAAUUAUAGUCUCAUUAUUACCUCAACUAUCUGGUACCCCUGCACAUUAACUCAGUACUGCUACUCCUUAUAGUCUCAUUAUUACCUCAACUACCUGGUACCCCUGCACAUUGACUCAGUACUGGUACUCCUUAUAGUCUCAUUAUUACCUCAACUACCUGGUACCCCUGCACAUUGACUCAGUACUGGUACUCCUUAUAGCCUCAUUAUUA